GACAGCAGUAGCCACGGUAAGACGUAGGAUGCAAGCGUUGUCCGGAUUUAUUGGGCGUAAAGAGUUCGUAGGCGGUUUGUUAAGUCUGAUGUUAAAGAUCGGGGCUCAACCCUGGGAGUGCAUUGGAUACUGGCAGACUGGAGUGUGGUAGAGGCUAGUGGAAUUCCUAGUGUAGCGGUGAAAUGCGUAGAUAUUAGGAAGAACACCAGUGGCGUAGGCGACUAGCUGGGCCAUAACUGACGCUGAGGAACGAAAGCGUGGGGAGCAAACAGGAUUAGAUACCCGCGUAGUCCAUGUCUCUUAUAC
Molecule: ribosomal RNA, 306 nt
Filed under: uncultured bacterium
Lineage: Bacteria
Description: partial 16S ribosomal RNA
Rfam family: Bacterial small subunit ribosomal RNA
Source: RNAcentral